RNAcentral lists this ribosomal RNA (500 nucleotides) under uncultured Glomeromycotina. Its description in RNAcentral is "partial small subunit ribosomal RNA". It matches the Rfam family "Eukaryotic small subunit ribosomal RNA", at positions 591 to 1092 of the family's 1831-position model. The record is from RNAcentral. Lineage: Eukaryota; Fungi; Glomeromycota.
CCAAUAGCGUAUAUUAAAGUUGUUGCAGUUAAAAAGCUCGUAGUUGAAUUUCGUGAUCAAUUUUCUUGGUCAUACCUUUGUAUGUACUGGUCUUAUUGAUUUCUCCCUUCUGAUGAACCAUGAUGUCAUUAAUUUGGUGUUAUGGGGAAUCAGGACUAUUACUUUGAAAAAAUUAGAGUGUUUAAAGCAGGCUCACGCUUGAAUACAUUAGCAUGGAAUAAUGAAAUAGGACGUUUGAUUCUAUUUUGUUGGUUUCUAGGAUUGACGUAAUGAUUAAUAGGGAUAGUUGGGGGCAUUAGUAUUCAAUUGUCAGAGGUGAAAUUCUUGGAUUUAUUGAAGACUAACUACUGCGAAAGCAUUUGCCAAAGAUGUUUUCAUUAAUCAAGAACGAAAGUUAGGGGAUCGAAGACGAUCAGAUACCGUCGUAGUCUUAACCAUAAACUAUGCCGACUAGGAAUCGGAUGAUGUUAAUUUUUUAAUGACUCAUUCGGCGCCUUACG